Molecule: ribosomal RNA, 499 nt
Filed under: uncultured bacterium
Lineage: Bacteria
Description: bacterial SSU rRNA
Rfam family: Bacterial small subunit ribosomal RNA
Source: RNAcentral
AUUGAACGCUGGCGGCAUGCUUUACACAUGCAAGUCGAACGGUAACAGGGAGCUUGCUCCGCUGACGAGUGGCGAACGGGUGAGUAACGCAUCGGAACGUACCCAGUCGUGGGGGAUAACGUAGCGAGAGUUACGCUAAUACCGCAUACGUCCUGAGGGAGAAAGCGGGGGACCGUAAGGCCUCGCGCGAUUGGAGCGGCCGAUGUCGGAUUAGCUAGUUGGUAGGGUAAAGGCCUACCAAGGCGACGAUCCGUAGCGGGUCUGAGAGGAUGAUCCGCCACACUGGGACUGAGACACGGCCCAGACUCCUACGGGAGGCAGCAGUGGGGAAUAUUGCACAAUGGGCGAAAGCCUGAUGCAGCAAUGCCGCGUGUGUGAAGAAGGCCUGCGGGUUGUAAAGCACUUUCGGCCGGGAAGAAAUCGCACAGGUUAAUACCCUGUGUGGAUGACGGUACCGGAAUAAGAAGCACCGGCUAACUACGUGCCAGCAGCCGUACGG